CCCUCUCCUUCCCAUGCAGCUACUUGAGUUUAUGUUUGUAUGUUAGUUUUCCUUGAAGGACCUCAGAUUCAUUUACCUUUCUUUGCUAUAAUGGGAGAAUAAGGUUUCCAUCUGGCAAUAUGCCAACAUUUUGUCUAAAUGUUUGCAUUUAAUUAGCGGUUUCUUGCCAGCCUUUGCCCAAGGAGGUGGGUGGGAGAAUCCCAGAUACUUGCACUUGCUACCGUGUACACCUAUGUUAAGGGUUAAUGCAGUACAUCACUUCUGUCUUGCAUUUUCAUCUACUUCCUACUUGCCCGCUUAAAAUUUAUUCAGAAAUGAGUAAGUAACAUCCUCGUGCUCAGGACUGUGAGAGAAUGCUAAUGGGGAUCUGCCUCUUGUUCUCAGCAGUUGUGCUAAAACAGUGGAUGUAUUUUCCUCUCAUUCCCUGAGACAUAAAGAGAGGCUUUCUGAAGGGUUGCUUGCAACCAAAACUCAUGUUUAAUGUUAGAAGCUCUGCUUGGUCUCUUUCAGUUUGAAACUGCUCUAGCUUAGUUAAGGGAGCCAGAUGUAACACAUUGACCUUAAAUGGUAAAAGCUCCCAGAGUGAGCAGAAGAGAGAGAAGGGAGGUUUUCCUGAAGGGGGAAAACAAGAGGAAUAGCUCAGUUUUAGGUGGGUGCUCCGUACUCCAAAACAACCUUUGUGCUGCCGGUUUAUUCUCCGUCUGUGACCUCCAGUGCCGCAUGGCUCUUAGACAGUGAUGCUUCCAAGCUUCAGACAUCACUCAUAGAUGCGCUGAAUUUAGAACAGAUUUCAACUCAAAAGAGAUGUUGUUGGACGUUUCCUAAUCUGUUCUUCCUGGGCCAGACACAGGGAUCCAAAGAGAAACUCAUAAACAAGAAAAAGCAUGCCUACAAAACAGAACAUGGGGAAAACAUUAAAAGAGCAUUUGAGGUCAACAGCCAGGCUAACAGUGAAGAUGGAAUAAAGUACCUUUAUUUGCCAAGACAUUCAGCUGUGAUUCAGAAGUCUUGGGAUCACAAGACUCCACAGGGCUUAUCUUCAGAGGUUAAUUUGAAACAGACGUUCUCAUCAGUGCAUGGUCUCUUUAGUCUCUGUGGCAAUCCAA
This 1106-nucleotide long non-coding RNA is filed under the name Pogona vitticeps (central bearded dragon). RNAcentral describes it as "lncRNA (ENSPVIG00000023034.1)". The record is from RNAcentral. Lineage: Eukaryota; Metazoa; Chordata; Lepidosauria; Squamata; Agamidae.